AUUGAACGCUGGCGGAAUGCUUUACACAUGCAAGUCGAACGGCAGCACGGACUUCGGUCUGGUGGCGAGUGGCGAACGGGUGAGUAACAUAUCGGAACGUAUCCAAUAAUGGGGGAUAACUAAUCGAAAGGUUGGCUAAUACCGCAUACGCCCUACGGGGGAAAGCAGGGGAUCUUCGGACCUUGCGUUAAUGGAGCGGCUGAUAUCUGGUUAGCUAGUUGGUGAGGUAAAGGCUCACCAAGGCGACGAUCAGUAGCUGGUCUGAGAGGACGACCAGCCACACUGGAACUGAGACACGGUCCAGACUCCUACGGGAGGCAGCAGUGGGGAAUUUUGGACAAUGGGCGCAAGCCUGAUCCAGCCAUUCCGCGUGAGUGAAGAAGGCCUUCGGGUUGUAAAGCUCUUUCGCAAGGGAAGGAAACUUACUUUCUAAUAAAGAGUGAGGUUGACGGUACCUUGAUAAGAAGCACCGGCUAACUACGUGCCAGCCGCCGCGGUAA
RNAcentral lists this ribosomal RNA (500 nucleotides) under uncultured bacterium. RNAcentral's name for it is "partial 16S ribosomal RNA". It matches the Rfam family "Bacterial small subunit ribosomal RNA", at positions 30 to 523 of the family's 1533-position model. The record is from RNAcentral.